Molecule: ribosomal RNA, 455 nt
Filed under: uncultured bacterium
Lineage: Bacteria
Description: bacterial SSU rRNA
Rfam family: Bacterial small subunit ribosomal RNA
Source: RNAcentral
ACUCCUACGGGAGGCAGCAGUGGGGAAUAUUGCACAAUGGGGGAAACCCUGAUGCAGCCAUGCCGCGUGUGUGAAGAAGGCCUUCGGGUUGUAAAGCACUUUCAGUAGGGAGGAAGGUAGUGUAGUUAACACCUGCAUUAUUUGACGUUACCUACAGAAGAAGCACCGGCUAACUCCGUGCCAGCAGCCGCGGUAAUACGGAGGGUGCGAGCGUUAAUCGGAAUUACUGGGCGUAAAGCGCAUGCAGGCGGCCUGUUAAGUCAGAUGUGAAAGCCCGGGGCUUAACCUCGGAAUUGCAUUUGAAACUGGCAGGCUAGAGUCUUGUAGAGGGGUUAGAAUUUCGAGGUGUAGCGGUGAAAUGCGUAGAGAUCUGAAGGAAUACCAGUGGCGAAGGCGGCCCCGUGGACAAAGACUGACGCUCAGAUGCGAAAGCGUGGGAGCAAACGAGGAUUAGA